This 656-nucleotide ribosomal RNA is filed under the name uncultured bacterium. RNAcentral describes it as "bacterial SSU rRNA". It matches the Rfam family "Bacterial small subunit ribosomal RNA", at positions 211 to 858 of the family's 1533-position model. The record is from RNAcentral.
GCUAUCACUCUUGGAUGGACCUGCGGUGCAUUAGCUAGUUGGUAAGGUAACGGCUUACCAAGGCAAUGAUGCAUAGCCGAGUUGAGAGACUGAUCGGCCACAUUGGGACUGAGACACGGCCCAAACUCCUACGGGAGGCAGCAGUAGGGAAUCUUCCACAAUGGACGAAAGUCUGAUGGAGCAACGCCGCGUGAGUGAAGAAGGGUUUCGGCUCGUAAAGCUCUGUUGGUAGUGAAGAAAGAUAGAGGUAGUAACUGGCCUUUAUUUGACGGUAAUUACUUAGAAAGUCACGGCUAACUACGUGCCAGCAGCCGCGGUAAUACGUAGGUGGCAAGCGUUGUCCGGAUUUAUUGGGCGUAAAGCGAGUGCAGGCGGUUCAAUAAGUCUGAUGUGAAAGCCUUCGGCUCAACCGGAGAAUUGCAUCAGAAACUGUUGAACUUGAGUGCAGAAGAGGAGAGUGGAACUCCAUGUGUAGCGGUGGAAUGCGUAGAUAUAUGGAAGAACACCAGUGGCGAAGGCGGCUCUCUGGUCUGCAACUGACGCUGAGGCUCGAAAGCAUGGGUAGCGAACAGGAUUAGAUACCCUGGUAGUCCAUGCCGUAAACGAUGAGUGCUAAGUGUUGGGAGGUUUCCGCCUCUCAGUGCUGCAGCUAACGC